This 297-nucleotide ribosomal RNA is filed under the name uncultured Pseudomonadota bacterium. RNAcentral's name for it is "uncultured proteobacterium partial 16S ribosomal RNA". It matches the Rfam family "Bacterial small subunit ribosomal RNA", at positions 29 to 351 of the family's 1533-position model. Lineage: Bacteria; Pseudomonadati; Pseudomonadota. The record is from RNAcentral.
AGCGAACGCUGGCGGCAGGCUUAACACAUGCAAGUCGAACGGGCGUAGCAAUACGUCAGUGGCAGACGGGUGAGUAACGCGUGGGAACGUACCUUUUGGUUCGGAACAACACAGGGAAACUUGUGCUAAUACCGGAUAAGCCCUUACGGGGAAAGAUUUAUCGCCGAAAGAUCGGCCCGCGUCUGAUUAGCUUGUUGGUGAGGUAAUGGCUCACCAAGGCGACGAUCAGUAGCUGGUCUGAGAGGAUGAUCAGCCUGACUGGAACUGAGACACGGUCCAGACUCCUACGGGUGGCAG